Molecule: long non-coding RNA, 1764 nt
Organism: Neopsephotus bourkii (Bourke's parrot)
Lineage: Eukaryota; Metazoa; Chordata; Aves; Psittaciformes; Psittacidae
Exons: 3
Source: RefSeq, a predicted model, not a curated record
UCUACUCCUAGAACUCAGGCAAAGAAUACCGACAGGAAGAGCAGAUUUCUCAAUCUGGAAGAAUUUGGGUUUUGAAUGAACCUUUGGGAUUGAGAGAAAGAGGGUUUCUUAAUCUCCUUUUGCUCUUCUUACUUUUAGCCUUUAAUAUUCAAGGAAGAGUUUCUCCAGUCAGAUUUUUAAGAACAGAUUCGUUCUUUCUUACACAGGUUUUAAUUCUGCAUAAAGCAAUGGAUGCCUAUGAAGUUAUUCCUGCUUUUCUUUGGUUUUAACUGCAAAAGGAAUUCAUUUGACUUCUUUUUAACACAAGAAAUGGCAGGAUUUUGCUGACUUUGAUUACCUCUUCCUUCCCUGUGCUUACCCCAAGAUGCACCAAGCCCCUAAACUUGUGGAGGCAGGUUAAAAUUCCAAGAGCAAAGUGUCAAAGUGUGCUUUUCUAACUUGAUCUUGGAUUCUUUACCAGUUGCAGAGAACUUGGCAACAUCUUUCUGGAAGGAAGGAAAGGCUCAGUAUGGAAACACAAUCAUGUGAUCACACCCUCCAGGGAGUUCAGAGCCACACUGAAAACAUUGUUCACCCUGCCUGGUCAGCUCGACUUUUAACUCACAAAUAUUUGCCUUUCCUAAAACCUUACUUUCCAAAUAAUCCAUCUGAGACCAUGAACUCUACUGAGGGCAAAUAAACCAACUGGAACAACUGUGUUUGUUAGGGUUUUAUAUCAGCAAUCUUGGAAAUCAAGGAGUUAUUAUUCUGAUUAAAAGCAGCGCUGGUAUAGGAGAGUGUGAAAGUCACUUCAGAAGAGUGCUAGAAUUUUAGUACACAAUCAAAACACAGCAGCUUCUGCAGUUUAGAUUAAGAAAUAACACAUGUAUAAAUCUAACUUCUUUCAUGAUGAGAUAUUGCCAGGAAUCGGUGAGCAAAUCAGCCUUUUCAGCUACCACGAGCCUACCAGACUAAAGGCCAAGUAAGUUCAGUGUAGAUUCAGCUCUCAAUGAAUUCAGUGGGAAUGGAAAGCUCUUCAGUUCAUCACAAGACUGAGCUCUAGGAGCUCAACUGGGCCAGCUAUUAUUAACUGCUUUCCAACCUGGAUGAGUACAUUGCUACCAACAGAGUCCGAGUUGUCUUUGCAGGAUAUAGAUGCUGUGGUGUCCUUACGGAUUACUCAAAAAGCCUUUGGAAAAGACCAUAUCUCACAGGAGGUCAUCUACGUGCAUCUGAAUUUGAGAGGGGCCAAUGUGCUGCACUGGAUCCAGCUGAGAAAAUCACAACCUGAAACUAGCAGAGAGACCUUUGAAACCACACCUGAGGGCAAAAAUAAAAGAAACUGAAUGCAGAUUGCAUGAAUGAAAACAAACUGUCCUCAUUCACUAAUCUCUCCAGGAAGGAGACAGACCUUUGUUCCAAGUUUCUUCUGUAGCAAAUAUUUGUGGACAAUCACUGAGGAUAAAGAAAGCCAUAAUGGGAACCACCCAGAUGUAAGUGUAUGUGAGAAGUUAUUUCAUUUCCUAGGCUUGGCAGGAAAGAUGUGCUUCUGUGAGGACAUCCAACUUGGGUCAUUAAUAGGAAAGCACUAGGAUCUUCUCCAUUAAAACAGAAAUCCAGCUCCUACCACUGCAGCUAAAAGAAGAAAUUCGUAACUUGCACAGUUUCACUGCAUGUGGAUAUACCCCUCUCUGCAUCAAACAUAGUAAGAAUAGCAGACAGGGGAAACUGGAUAGAUUUUUAUCGAUCUUGAUGGCUAAACCACUGGGAUGUGUUUGUUCACAG